RNAcentral lists this ribosomal RNA (456 nucleotides) under uncultured Acidovorax sp. Its description in RNAcentral is "bacterial SSU rRNA". It matches the Rfam family "Bacterial small subunit ribosomal RNA", at positions 923 to 1382 of the family's 1533-position model. The record is from RNAcentral. Lineage: Bacteria; Pseudomonadati; Pseudomonadota; Betaproteobacteria; Burkholderiales; Comamonadaceae.
GCACAAGCGGUGGAUGAUGUGGUUUAAUUCGAUGCAACGCGAAAACCUUACCACCUUUGACAUGUACGAAUCCUUUAGAGAUAGAGGAGUGCUCGAAAGAGAACCGUAACACAGGUGCUGCAUGGCUGUCGUCAGCUCGUGUCGUGAGAUGUUGGGUUAAGUCCCGCAACGAGCGCAACCCUUGUCAUUAGUUGCUACAUUCAGUUGGGCACUCUAAUGAGACUGCCGGUGACAAACCGGAGGAAGGUGGGGAUGACGUCAAGUCCUCAUGGCCCUUAUAGGUGGGGCUACACACGUCAUACAAUGGAUGGUACAAAGGGUCGCCAACCCGCGAGGGGGAGCCAAUCCCAUAAAGCCAUUCGUAGUCCGGAUCGCAGUCUGCAACUCGACUGCGUGAAGUCGGAAUCGCUAGUAAUCGUGGAUCAGAAUGUCACGGUGAAUACGUUCCCGGGUCUU